Molecule: ribosomal RNA, 1025 nt
Filed under: uncultured Actinomycetes bacterium
Lineage: Bacteria; Bacillati; Actinomycetota; Actinomycetes
Description: bacterial SSU rRNA
Rfam family: Bacterial small subunit ribosomal RNA
Source: RNAcentral
UCGCGGCCUAUCAGCUUGUUGGUGAGGUAACGGCUCACCAAGGCUUCGACGGAUAGCUAGUCUGAGAGGACGAAUAGCCACACUGGAACUGAGACACGGUCCAGACUCUUACGGGAGGCAGCAGUGGGGAAUCUUGCACAAUGGGCGAAAGCCUGAUGCAGCGACGCCGCGUGGGGGAUGAAGGCCCUAGGGUCGUAAACCCCUUUCAGGAGGGACGAAAAUGACGGUACCUCCAGAAGAAGCCCCGGCCAACUACGUGCCAGCAGCCGCGGUAAGACGUAGGGGGCGAGCGUUGUCCGGAUUUAUUGGGCGUAAAGGGCUCGUAGGUGGUUGCGUAAGUCGGAUGUGAAAACUCAGGGCUCAACUCUGAGACGCCAUCCGAUACUGCGCUGACUUGAGUCCGGUAGAGGAGUGUGGAAUUCCUGGUGUAGCGGUGAAAUGCGCAGAUAUCAGGAGGAACACCUAUAGCGAAGGCAGCACUCUGGGCCGGUACUGACACUGAGGAGCGAAAGCGUGGGUAGCAAACAAGAUUAGAUACCCUGGUAGUCCACGCCGUAAACGGUGGGCACUAGAUGUGGGGACUUUCAACGGUCUCUGCGUCGUAGCUAACGCAUUAAGUGCCCCGCCUGGGGAGUACGGCCGCAAGGCUAAAACUCAAAGGAAUUGACGGGGGCCCGCACAAGCGGCGGAGCAUGUUGCUUAAUUCGAGGCAACGCGAAGAACCUUACCUGGGUUUGACAUGUACGGAAAAGCUGCAGAGAUGUAGUGUCCUUCGGGGCCGUACACAGGUGGUGCAUGGUUGUCGUCAGCUCGUGUCGUGAGAUGUUGGGUUAAGUCCCGCAACGAGCGCAACCCUCGUCCUAUGUUGCCAGCAUUUAGUUGGGGACUCGUAGGAGACUGCCGGCGUCAAGUCGGAGGAAGGUGGGGACGACGUCAAAUCAUCAUGCCCCUUAUGUCCAGGGCUGCAAACAUGCUACAAUGGCCGGUACAACGGGCUGCGACACCGCGAGGUGAAGCGAAUCCCU